Molecule: long non-coding RNA, 479 nt
Organism: Ornithodoros turicata
Lineage: Eukaryota; Metazoa; Arthropoda; Arachnida; Ixodida; Argasidae
Exons: 2
Source: RefSeq, a predicted model, not a curated record
AGGCGCUGUAUUUUCAAUUGCGAACCUUAAAUUAAUAGUACAGAUAUUCCGAGGAAGAAUUUAGCUAUCCUUACGCAAAUUAUGGCUAACUUCACCAAACUCGACGUGACGGGACCACGGGACAACGGGACAGGAAGAUGAAAAACAAAUUCACGGAACGAGCGGUACAACGAACAACGUCUACCAUGCUGCAGGAGAUGAGAAGGAGAAGAUGAAGAAGAAGGAGGAGAUGAGAUGAGAGAUUGUCCUGAGGCAGUCGUGCGAUCAGCUAGUCGUGUAGGGAGGCCAAGAAUAGACGAGCGUUAAUACAAGGAUAGCAUUCUCAGGCCCAAACACAUUUUGAGGACAUCUUCCUCGAUGGUACGUCGUGAUGGCUUCUUGGUGCACGCGGUACUGGAAGGGCUGUCUAGCGGUGAGGUCGCUCGCCACAAAGAAUACAUUCAGGGAACUUGGAAGAAGCAAUAAAAUACCUGUAAUUU